Gallus gallus (chicken) is the source of this 985-nucleotide long non-coding RNA. Lineage: Eukaryota; Metazoa; Chordata; Aves; Galliformes; Phasianidae. The record is from Ensembl.
AGAGAGAGGCAACAAAGCUGAUGAAGAGUCUGGAACACAAGUCUUACGAAGAGCAGCUGAGGGAACUGGGACUAUUUAGUCUGGAGAAGAGGAGGUUCACGGGAGACUUUAUUGCUCUCUACAGCUACCUGAAAGAAGAUUCUCUUUCUUCUACUGUAAUUGGAAGACGGAGACCCCUAACUAAGUUAACAUGUUAAGGGGGAAGAGAGUGUCAACAAGACUCAAGUGUGAAGAGAAAGGAUCACUACACAGAAGCAGAACUUGAAUGACAUUUUGCUAUCGUAUAUCAUCAUGGUUUUAAAAAUAAUAUGUUUGUUCAGAUUUCUCUCCUCGCAAACUGUGAUCUAAGAACAAGGCAACCUCACGACAACCAACAAUUACAGGCAGAACAUCUCAGAAAUAGUCUUUAAAGGAUGAAGCCUCAGGUCACUGUAAAACUGCUGGUUCAGAAGCUCCUCCUCUGGACUGCCAUCACCUUUUCACAUCAAAAAAGUUGCUAAGGACAUCAGUUCUAAACCUGAAAAGGACAAACAGAUGACUCUGCCAUCAUCUCUUUGUGGAGAUGUGGUUGUCACAAUGCUUCCUCAUAAUGUCUGACCUUGUAAUAUCAUUGCAACAAAUUAAUUCCAGCCCAUAGGUAACUUAUUUGUGUAGAAGUUGGCAGAAAUUGGAUGAUUUAUCAAUCUAGUCCUUCAUUUGCAAUUGUAAAUAGAGUAUUGAGUAGGCAAGUUCUAUUUUCAUCAUACAAAUUGACCGUCUUGUACAGAAUUAUUCAAAUGCUAAUACUAAUUUGCACCCAGUGCAAUACUGCUAAAGUCAAAGAGUAAAGCAGGCUUUUUGACCUCACACAGCAAUUGGCCCAUUUAUUUUUCAUUAUGUUCUGUUUGAUGCUUUACUUAUUAGAGAAUAAGGACUGUCUGUAGUCUGUAAUUGUAUUCCCAUAAAUUAAGAGUAAAAUUGAAGACCUCAUCCGAGGCAGCAUGCU